UACGUAGGUGGCAAGCGUUAUCCGGAUUUACUGGGUGUAAAGGGCGUGUAGGCGGGAGUGCAAGUCAGAUGUGAAAACCACGGGCUCAACCUGUGGCCUGCAUUUGAAACUGGAAGUCUAGAGUGCAGGAGAGGAGAAUGGAAUUCCUAGUGUAGCGGUGAAAUGCGUAGAGAUUAGGAAGAACACCAGUGGCGAAGGCGAUUCUCUGGACUGUAACUGACGCUGAGGCUCGAAAGCGUGGGGAGCAAACAGG
This 253-nucleotide ribosomal RNA is filed under the name uncultured bacterium. RNAcentral describes it as "partial 16S ribosomal RNA". It matches the Rfam family "Bacterial small subunit ribosomal RNA", at positions 524 to 776 of the family's 1533-position model. The record is from RNAcentral.